Molecule: ribosomal RNA, 2905 nt
Filed under: Klebsiella grimontii
Lineage: Bacteria; Pseudomonadati; Pseudomonadota; Gammaproteobacteria; Enterobacterales; Enterobacteriaceae
Description: 23S ribosomal RNA
Rfam family: Bacterial large subunit ribosomal RNA
Source: RNAcentral
GGUUAAGCGACUAAGCGUACACGGUGGAUGCCCUGGCAGUCAGAGGCGAUGAAGGACGUGCUAAUCUGCGAAAAGCGUCGGUAAGGUGAUAUGAACCGUUAUAGCCGGCGAUGUCCGAAUGGGGAAACCCAGUGCAAUUCGUUGCACUAUCGUUUGAUGAAUACAUAGUCAAACGAGGCGAACCGGGGGAACUGAAACAUCUAAGUACCCCGAGGAAAAGAAAUCAACCGAGAUUCCCCCAGUAGCGGCGAGCGAACGGGGAGCAGCCCGGAGUCUGAAUCAGCUUGUGUGUUAGUGGAAGCGUCUGGAAAGUCGCAGGGUACAGGGUGAUACUCCCGUACACUAAAGCACACAGGUUGUGAACUCGAAGAGUAGGGCGGGACACGUGGUAUCCUGUCUGAAUAUGGGGGGACCAUCCUCCAAGGCUAAAUACUCCUGACUGACCGAUAGUGAACCAGUACCGUGAGGGAAAGGCGAAAAGAACCCCGGCGAGGGGAGUGAAAAAGAACCUGAAACCGUGUACGUACAAGCAGUAGGAGCCUCUUUAUGGGGUGACUGCGUACCUUUUGUAUAAUGGGUCAGCGACUUAUAUUCUGUAGCAAGGUUAACCGUAUAGGGGAGCCGCAGGGAAACCGAGUCUUAACUGGGCGUUAAGUUGCAGGGUAUAGACCCGAAACCCGGUGAUCUAGCCAUGGGCAGGUUGAAGGUUGGGUAACACUAACUGGAGGACCGAACCGACUAAUGUUGAAAAAUUAGCGGAUGACUUGUGGCUGGGGGUGAAAGGCCAAUCAAACCGGGAGAUAGCUGGUUCUCCCCGAAAGCUAUUUAGGUAGCGCCUCGUGAAUUCAUCUUCGGGGGUAGAGCACUGUUUCGGCUAGGGGUCAUCCCGACUUACCAACCCGAUGCAAACUACGAAUACCGAAGAAUGUUAUCACGGGAGACACACGGCGGGUGCUAACGUCCGUCGUGAAGAGGGAAACAACCCAGACCGCCAGCUAAGGUCCCAAAGUCAUGGUUAAGUGGGAAACGAUGUGGGAAGGCCCAGACAGCCAGGAUGUUGGCUUAGAAGCAGCCAUCAUUUAAAGAAAGCGUAAUAGCUCACUGGUCGAGUCGGCCUGCGCGGAAGAUGUAACGGGGCUAAACCAUGCACCGAAGCUGCGGCAGCGACACUAUGUGUUGUUGGGUAGGGGAGCGUUCUGUAAGCCGUUGAAGGUGGCCUGUGAGGGUUGCUGGAGGUAUCAGAAGUGCGAAUGCUGACAUAAGUAACGAUAAUGCGGGUGAAAAACCCGCACGCCGGAAGACCAAGGGUUCCUGUCCAACGUUAAUCGGGGCAGGGUGAGUCGACCCCUAAGGCGAGGCCGAAAGGCGUAGUCGAUGGGAAACAGGUUAAUAUUCCUGUACUCGGUGUUACUGCGAAGGGGGGACGGAGAAGGCUAUGUUGGCCGGGCGACGGUUGUCCCGGUUUAAGCAUGUAGGCGGACGUUCCAGGUAAAUCCGGAACGUUACUAACGCUGAGGUGUGAUGACGAGGCACUACGGUGCUGAAGUGACAAAUGCCCUGCUUCCAGGAAAAGCCUCUAAGCAUCAGGUAACAUCAAAUCGUACCCCAAACCGACACAGGUGGUCAGGUAGAGAAUACCAAGGCGCUUGAGAGAACUCGGGUGAAGGAACUAGGCAAAAUGGUGCCGUAACUUCGGGAGAAGGCACGCUGAUAGGUAGGUGAAGUGGUUUACCCAUGGAGCUGAAAUCAGUCGAAGAUACCAGCUGGCUGCAACUGUUUAUUAAAAACACAGCACUGUGCAAACACGAAAGUGGACGUAUACGGUGUGACGCCUGCCCGGUGCCGGAAGGUUAAUUGAUGGGGUUAUCCGUAAGGAGAAGCUCUUGAUCGAAGCCCCGGUAAACGGCGGCCGUAACUAUAACGGUCCUAAGGUAGCGAAAUUCCUUGUCGGGUAAGUUCCGACCUGCACGAAUGGCGUAAUGAUGGCCAGGCUGUCUCCACCCGAGACUCAGUGAAAUUGAACUCGCUGUGAAGAUGCAGUGUACCCGCGGCAAGACGGAAAGACCCCGUGAACCUUUACUAUAGCUUGACACUGAACACUGGUCCUUGAUGUGUAGGAUAGGUGGGAGGCUUUGAAGUGUGGACGCCAGUCUGCAUGGAGCCAUCCUUGAAAUACCACCCUUUAAUGGCUGGUGUUCUAACGUGGGCCCGUUAUCCGGGUUGCGGACAGUGUCUGGUGGGUAGUUUGACUGGGGCGGUCUCCUCCUAAAGAGUAACGGAGGAGCACGAAGGUCAGCUAAUCCUGGUCGGACAUCAGGAGGUUAGUGCAAUGGCAUAAGCUGGCUUGACUGCGAGCGUGACGGCGCGAGCAGGUGCGAAAGCAGGUCAUAGUGAUCCGGUGGUUCUGAAUGGAAGGGCCAUCGCUCAACGGAUAAAAGGUACUCCGGGGAUAACAGGCUGAUACCGCCCAAGAGUUCAUAUCGACGGCGGUGUUUGGCACCUCGAUGUCGGCUCAUCACAUCCUGGGGCUGAAGUAGGUCCCAAGGGUAUGGCUGUUCGCCAUUUAAAGUGGUACGCGAGCUGGGUUUAGAACGUCGUGAGACAGUUCGGUCCCUAUCUGCCGUGGGCGCUGGAGAAUUGAGGGGGCUGCUCCUAGUACGAGAGGACCGGAGUGGACGCAUCACUGGUGUUCGGGUUGUCAUGCCAAUGGCAUUGCCCGGUAGCUAAAUGCGGAAGAGAUAAGUGCUGAAAGCAUCUAAGCACGAAACUUGCCCCGAGAUGAGUUCUCCCUGACUCCUUGAGAGUCCUGAAGGAACGUUGAAGACGACGACGUUGAUAGGCCGGGUGUGUAAGCGCAGCGAUGCGUUGAGCUAACCGGUACUAAUGAACCGUGAGGCUUAACCUU